GAUGAACGCUGGCGGCGUGCCUAAUACAUGCAAGUCGAGCGAACAGACGAGGAGCUUGCUCCUCUGACGUUAGCGGCGGACGGGUGAGUAACACGUGGAUAACCUACCUAUAAGACUGGGAUAACUUCGGGAAACCGGAGCUAAUACGGGAUAACAUGUUGAACCGCAUGGUUCAACAGUGAAAGACGGUCUUGCUGUCACUUAUAGAUGGAUCCGCGCCGCAUUAGCUAGUUGGUAAGGUAACGGCUUACCAAGGCAACGAUGCGUAGCCGACCUGAGAGGGUGAUCGGCCACACUGGAACUGAGACACGGUCCAGACUCCUACGGGAGGCAGCAGUAGGGAAUCUUCCGCAAUGGGCGAAAGCCUGACGGAGCAACGCCGCGUGAGUGAAGAAGGUCUUCGGAUCGUAAAACUCUGUUAUUAGGGAAGAACAAAUGUGUAAGUAACUAUGCACGUCUUGACGGUACCUAAUCAGAAAGCCACGGCUAACUACGUG
This 497-nucleotide ribosomal RNA is filed under the name uncultured bacterium. RNAcentral describes it as "partial 16S ribosomal RNA". It matches the Rfam family "Bacterial small subunit ribosomal RNA", at positions 28 to 507 of the family's 1533-position model. The record is from RNAcentral.